GACGCUCCUCAUCGACGCACUCCUCCUAAAAAGCAAAAACGAACAACUCGUCCAGUACCUUCUAAAUAUGGAAAUACUGGCAGAGAGACGUCUGAGAUUUGGAAUCAUUUCUUCAAGUUUACUGCUAAAGGAGAAGAUUUAAGGGUGAAUUUUGGAAAUUUGGUGAGAUCCAUGAAGUUUCAAGAAUCAAAGACUAAAUUCUUUGGUCUUUUGAGCUGCUGCUAUUGUGUUAUUAAGUUUGAACACCUUUUGGGAAGAUAUUAGUGAAGAUAUCUUGUGUUUAGUUUAUUUUGUGAUUUGUAACAAGGAUAUCUAUAGCUCAAGAUUAACUGGAGAUCAUGUUUAGAUUGAAUUAGCCUAGAAUUUUCAUAUUUAGAUUGAGAUAGCUACUGUAAUAGUAUAGAUGAUCUUGUUACUUCA
Nicotiana tabacum (common tobacco) is the source of this 420-nucleotide non-coding RNA. NCBI's taxonomy places the organism in Eukaryota, Viridiplantae, Streptophyta, Magnoliopsida, Solanales, Solanaceae. The record is from RefSeq and is a predicted model, not a curated record.